Molecule: ribosomal RNA, 468 nt
Filed under: uncultured bacterium
Lineage: Bacteria
Description: partial 16S ribosomal RNA
Rfam family: Bacterial small subunit ribosomal RNA
Source: RNAcentral
GACGAACGCUGGCGGCGUGCUUAACACAUGCAAGUCGAACGGAAAGGCCCUGCUUUUGUGGGGUGCUCGAGUGGCGAACGGGUGAGUAACACGUGAGUAACCUGCCCUUGUCUUUGGGAUAACUUCAGGAAACUGGGGCUAAUACCGGAUAGGAGCUCCUGCUGCAUGGUGGGGGUUGGAAAGUUUCGGCGGUUGGGGAUGGACUCGCGGCUUAUCAGCUUGUUGGUGGGGUAGUGGCUUACCAAGGCUUUGACGGGUAGCCGGCCUGAGAGGGUGACCGGCCACAAUGGGACUGAGAGACGGCCCAGACGCCUACGGGAGGCAGCAGUGGGGAAUAUUGCACAAUGGGCGGAAGCCUGAUGCAGCAGCGCCGCGUGCGGAAUGACGGCCUUCGGGUUGUAAACCGCUUUCGCCUGUGACGAAGCGGGAGUGACGGUAAUGGGUAAAGAAGCACCGGCUAACUACGUG